UCGGGUCAUAUGCUACAUUCCCC
This 23-nucleotide non-coding RNA is filed under the name Arabidopsis thaliana (thale cress). Lineage: Eukaryota; Viridiplantae; Streptophyta; Magnoliopsida; Brassicales; Brassicaceae. The record is from RNAcentral.